AAGAAUAUCACCUAGGUCAUUAAUUGUUCCCAUUUAUUUGGCCAAUUAAUUAAGACCAAAAAUAGAGAUAUUAUCUUUAUUUGAGAAUAUAAACACCAAUUAAAGAUAAUAUCACUAAUUUUAGAUAUUGUCUUAUUUUGGGGAUAUUAUCAUUAAUUAGGGAAUAUUGUAAUCUAAUAGACUAAUUAAGAGUAGUGUGAGGGUUUAGGGACCCACUAGUGUAGUGUUUUGGAGCAAUUGCUCCCAUGGAGUUGUCUCCUAUGGUUGCCAAGGGCAAAUCAAGGACCUCGAAGCCAUUUCCAGGUCUAUCAUGGGCCUCUUUUGUAGACCCCGGUGUGGUUGGGUAAGCUUUUCAACUUCAACCGUGUUUUCUUUUCUUUCUUUUUCUUUUUCUUUUUUUUUUUAGAUUCCUUUUCUUUUAUAAAAAUACCCAAUUUCUUAUGAAUUAUCUAAUAGGGUAAUUUUCAUUUUAGUACCUUGACAGUGUGUUGGAUGAAGUAGUUCUAAUUUCCAUAGAAACUGUAAAUGAUGGGAAUUCCAAUUACAUCAUUUAAAAUUCCGUCAGUUGCACAUUUCAGUGUUUGAAUGUCAUGUAUGUGGAAUGUAAGAAAUUACAGAAAUUACAAUUUCACAUGUUUAGAUACUCAUAAGAGAAUUAGAAUUUAAUUAGAAGUAACAACAUUUUUUUGUCUUCAACAAUAUGGUAUUUUCUGCGUAUAAUUUGGCAAAUCCUGAGUUGAUUUUUCCAAACGUUGAAUUUUCCCUUUUCCAUGCUUUAAAUCCCACCUUUUGUGAAAAUCCCGAGUUAUUUUACCUCAUUCAAAUACACUGUAGUACACAGAGUUUCACCCUUAAUACAUGAUGUUUUUUGGUAGGGAAUAAAAAAAAAUGUGGCACCAUGCUAUUUGUAGUUAAUAUUAAAUGUUAUUAUAUUUUUAUUUCUACAUGAAAAAUAGAAAGAGAAAACGUAUAAAAGCUCCCACGAGCUUCCUGCUUCCUCCUCAAUCUUGUCUUCCCCCUUCUGUAUUUUCGUUUCACUUUAUGCCACGCAUAUGGCAUAAAAUGAGGAAUAAAAAAAGGCAAGAUGUGAAGGAAGUUAACAUUAAUGAGGAAUAAAAAAAGGCAAGAUGUGAAGGAAGUUAACAUUCUUGUAAAUAAAAUUUGUUUCUUU
This 1171-nucleotide long non-coding RNA is filed under the name Prunus persica (peach). Its description in RNAcentral is "long non-coding RNA (PPER_LNC000457)". The record is from RNAcentral. Lineage: Eukaryota; Viridiplantae; Streptophyta; Magnoliopsida; Rosales; Rosaceae.